GUAGGUGGCAAGCGUUGUCCGGAAUUAUUGGGCGUAAAGCGCGCGCAGGCGGUUCUUUAAGUCUGAUGUGAAAGCCCACGGCUCAACCGUGGAGGGUCAUUGGAAACUGGAGAACUUGAGUACAGAAGAGGAAAGCGGAAUUCCACGUGUAGCGGUGAAAUGCGUAGAGAUGUGGAGGAACACCAGUGGCGAAGGCGGCUUUCUGGUCUGUAACUGACGCUGAGGCGCGAAAGCGUGGGGAGCAAACAGGGAUUAGAUACCCUGGUAGUCCACGCCGUAAACGAUGAGUGCUAAGUGUUAGGGGGGUUUCCGCCCCCUUAGUGCUGCAGCUAACGCAUUAAGCACUCCGCCUGGGAAGUACGGCCGCAAGGCUG
Molecule: ribosomal RNA, 374 nt
Filed under: uncultured organism
Description: partial 16S ribosomal RNA
Rfam family: Bacterial small subunit ribosomal RNA
Source: RNAcentral